AUAUUGCCCGACCGGUACAAGCGGGGUAGGUGUACAACAGGCAAAUCCGUUGUAUAAUCCGAAGACGUGAUGUGGAGCGAAAUAAAGUAGUGAAGCGUGUGAGCCAUGUGCCGAGAAAAGCUGCUAUUGCGUAAUGCGUGCCCGUACCGUAAACCGACACAGGUGGAUGAGGAGAGAAUCCUAAGGCCGACGGAAGAAGCAUUGUUAAGGAAUUCGGCAAAAUGACCCCGUAACUUCGGGAGAAGGGGUGCCUGCGAGAGCAGGCCGCAGAGAAUAGGCUCAAGCAACUGUUUAGCAAAAACACAGGUCUAUGCGAAACCGAAAGGUGAAGUAUAUGGGCUGACGCCUGCCCGGUGCUGGAAGGUUAAGAGGAGAGGUUAGCGUAAGCGAAGCUUUGAAUUUAAGCCCCAGUAAACGGCGGCCGUAACGAUAACGGUCCUAAGGUAGCGAAAUUCCUUGUCGGGUAAGUUCCGACCCGCACGAAAGGUGUAAUGAUUUGAGCACUGUCUCGACAAUGCAUCCGGUGAAAUUGAAGUACCAGUGAAGAUGCUGGUUACCCGCGCCAGGACGGAAAGACCCCAUGGAGCUUUACUCCAGUUUGAUACUGGGAUUCGGUACUGCAUGUACAGGAUAGGUGGGAGACAAAGAAGGAUGGACGCCAGUCUGUCCGGAGUCGCUGUUGGGAUACCACCCCUGUAGUACUGGGUUUCUAACCAGUUGCCAUGAACUGGCAAUGGGACAAUGUCAGGCGGGGAGUUUGACUGGGGCGGUCGCCUCCGAAAGGGUAUCGGAGGCGCUCAAAGGUUCCCUCAGAAUGGUUGGAGACCAUUUGAAGAGUGCAAAGGCAGAAGGGAGCUUGACUGCGACACCGACGGGUGGAGCAGGUACGAAAGUAGGACUUAGUGAUCCGGUGGUAUAAAGUGGGAUUGCCAUCGCUCAACGGAUAAAAGCUACCCUGGGAUAACAGGCUUAUCACUCCCAAGAGUUCACAUCGACGGAGUGGUUUGGCACCUCGAUGUCGGCUCAUCGCAUCCUGGGGCUGUAGCAGGUCCCAAGGGUUGGGCUGUUCGCCCAUUAAAGCGGUACGCGAGCUGGGUUCAGAACGUCGUGAGACAGUUCGGUCCCUAUCCGGCGCGGGCGGAGGAUAUUUGAGAGGAGCUGUCCUUAGUACGAGAGGACCGGGAUGGACGGACCACUGGUGUAUCUGUUGUCGACCAACGGCAUGGCAGAGUAGCCAAGUCUGGAAGGGAUAAACGCUGAAGGCAUCUAAGCGUGAAGCCCCCCUCAAGAUGAGAUAUCCCUCCUACGGGAGUAAGACCCCUUGAAGACUACAAGGUAGAUAGGGCAGAGGUGGAAGCAUGGCAACAUGUGGAGCUGACUGUUACUAAUAGGUCGAGGGCUUAAUGAA
Molecule: ribosomal RNA, 1408 nt
Filed under: metagenome
Description: bacterial LSU rRNA
Rfam family: Bacterial large subunit ribosomal RNA
Source: RNAcentral